GACAUUUGCUUAGUUGGUCCGCCGCAAGGUGGGUACUGACUGAGCAUGUCUUUCCUCCUGAAGACCUUGUGUGCUCUUCAUCGGGUGCACAGGGGAUUCGGGACCAUUACCUUGAAAAAAUUAGAGUGCUCAAAGCAGGCUUGUGCUUGAAUACGUUAGCAUGGAAUAAUGAAAUAGGACUUUGGUCUUAUUUUGUUGGUUUCUAGGACCGAAGUA
RNAcentral lists this ribosomal RNA (216 nucleotides) under uncultured fungus. RNAcentral's name for it is "partial small subunit ribosomal RNA". The stretch from base 93 to 216 matches the Rfam family "Eukaryotic small subunit ribosomal RNA", at positions 738 to 864 of the family's 1831-position model. Lineage: Eukaryota; Fungi. The record is from RNAcentral.